CCUANGGGUGGCAGCAGUGGGGAAUCUUGGACAAUGGGGGCAACCCUGAUCCAGCGAUGCCGCGUGGGUGAAGAAGGCCUUCGGGUUGUAAAGCCCUUUAGGCUGGGACGAAGGGUGUGGGACGAAUAAUCCUGCACUUUGACGGUACCAGCAGAAUAAGCACCGGCAAACUCUGUGCCAGCAGCCGCGGUAAUACAGAGGGUGCGAGCGUUAAUCGGAUUUACUGGGCGUAAAGGGCGCGUAGGCGGUGAUGUGAGUGUGAUGUGAAAGCCCCGGGCUCAACCUGGGAAGUGCAUCGCAAACGACAUGACUGGAGUAGAUGAGAGGGUGGCGGAAUUUCCGGUGUAGCGGUGAAAUGCGUAGAGAUCGGAAGGAACGUCAAUGGCGAAGGCAGCCACCUGGCAUCAUACUGACGCUGAGGCGCGAAAGCGUGGGGAGCGAACAGGAUUAGAUACCCGUNUANUC
RNAcentral lists this ribosomal RNA (465 nucleotides) under uncultured bacterium. Its description in RNAcentral is "bacterial SSU rRNA". It matches the Rfam family "Bacterial small subunit ribosomal RNA", at positions 338 to 795 of the family's 1533-position model. The record is from RNAcentral.